Molecule: long non-coding RNA, 1958 nt
Organism: Canis lupus familiaris (dog)
Lineage: Eukaryota; Metazoa; Chordata; Mammalia; Carnivora; Canidae
Exons: 6
Source: RefSeq, a predicted model, not a curated record
GUCAGCAUUUAGUGAUGCAAGGCCAGAACAACAGCGGUCCUUGGUCUGUGGUUUCUAAACCCCUAAGGGCUGACCUACAGGUCCUCUACAAACUUCAAAAUGACUGCUCAGAAUUACUUUGAGCUCUUUGAUGCCAAGAACGGAGUCUGAACACCUGUGCAGCACAAUGCCUGGCACAAAACAUGGCAGAGGGAGAAGAUGCUGGGCUCAGUGACUGAAGAAUGAAUGUGUAGUCUGAAACUGAGUAGAUCCUGAAUCUGUGUAUGGGAGGCAAACCCUUGUAUUUUUCAGCCGGAUUUGCCAGGAUAUAAGAGAAGACAAUAGGGAAAAAGAAAACACAAAAGUAUAAUGAAACUGAGGCAUGGAGAAAAUACAUAAUUCAUCCCAGGUCAUCUGACAUAAGCAUUUGAAAUUGGGCAAGUUGACACUAAGAGCCCAAGCUGUGGUUUGUCUCCAUCUCCCCAACCACUUCUGAAAAUGAGUAGAUGGAUUUUGUUAAGAGAAUUCUUUGAAAUCCAUGUCCCUGCUGCCUGGGAAAUCUCGGGAGAAGAGCAACUAAGAACUUUCAGACCAAAGUCAGGAGAGCAUGUUUGCUUUGACAUCAGUUGGAGCAAGGGAUCUGUGGGUAUUUUCCAUGGAUUGUUGUGAGCCACAUAGGAGAGAAAAUUCUGCUUCAGACCCAAAACAGCUCAACAUGGGGCAGGGAGAAGGUUUGACACUGAAAUUGAGCACUGAGACCCAUUUCUGAAAAUGGACCCAUUAGGAUUUUGAAAUUGAGAGUGUGAUUUCAAAAUAAGCACUCACUGCACUCUGACCUAUAAGGAAGUGAACGUUGAGGACCUGCUGGGCUUUUCAUGCUGGGGCAGAUGAUGAUCAUCCCAGCAUUACCUCUUAAGUCUAGGGUAGGGAGCAAAAAUGAAGGAGCACAAUUCUGCAGCAGCCUCAGGAGUUCUAUGACACAAAACCUCAUUUUGGAAACACUUCCGGUAUAAGUUCUCACAUAUGGACAGAAAAUAAAAUCAGGAGGAAAAAUCAAGAGGUAUGGAAUGGAAGAAUAAUCAAGUUACCUAAUAAAGUUGUUGUUGAAAAAGAAAAAGAAUUUAGAAUGACAAUUUUAGACAAUUACAACUGAGAUGAGGGUGAGAGUAAGGGGCAGAGACUAAAUUAAUGUAAGAAUAUGCUAGACAAUCUUUCCCAUUCAUGAAAGACAUAAAUAUUAAUUCAUUGAAAAUACAGUGUAAUAAAGCACUGAUAAUAACUUAGUAUAAACUGGAAAACAGAAAAGAAAAGAGGAACCAAGUUAUUUGUCUAUUGGAUAAAUCAAACUUUAUAGACUGAUUUAUGAGUUUUAGUUAUACAGUACCCUAAAAGCAAUUUUCAUAAUAGAAAGCACAAUAAAAUGUCUAGGAAGUACUAACAUAAACGUAUAGUAGGUAUAAAUGGUUUAACUCACCAACUGGAAGAGUCCCGGUUUAGAUUUUUAGAUUUUCAAGAAUACGAGCAGUGUUUUCAACAUAUACACUUAGAUAACAAGAUGCAAGAAAGUUUAAAAACCUCAUGAUGGAGAAAGCUACAUCAGGCGAAUAUAAACCAAGUGGAAUCUGGAAAAGGAAUCUUAAAAAACUACUGCAAAUGUCACAUUCGAUGGAGAAAUUUUAGAUACAUUAUCUCAAAAGUGAACUAAAAAUCCAGAAUGUUUAUUCUUCGCUGUAGCUGUUUCAGAUGGAACAGAACUUCAGAACAGAGGUGGGGCCUUCUUGGACAUGGUCUGCUGAUUUUCAGAAAGUGUUUUUCUUUUUUUUCCUUCAUGUUUUUUUUCUACUUCCCUAUUUCUCAAACUGCUAUUAUUCAAACACCAGCAAGUCCAUUUCCAAUUUCUAGACCCCUUAGCUUUUCUUUUAUGGUUCUCCACCUUCCCUUGGUGACUUCUUUUAUUUUAUAGUAUUUAUUUUUUUCCA